CAAUAGCGUAUAUUUAAGUUGUUGCAGUUAAAAAGCUCGUAGUUGGAUUUCGGAUGGACUUGACCGGUCCGCCGUUUGGUGUGCACUGGUCGUGCCUAUCUUGCUGCCGGGGACGCGCUCCUGGCCUUAAUUGGCUGGGACGCGGAGUCGGCGAUGUUACUUUGAAAAAAUUAGAGUGUUCAAAGCAGGCCUAAGCUCUGAAUACAUUAGCAUGGAAUAACGCUAUAGGACUCUGGUCUUAUUGCGUUGGUCUUCGAGACCGGAGUAAUGAUUAAGAGGGACAGUUGGGGGCAUUCGUAUUUCAUUGUCAGAGGUGAAAUUCUUGGAUUUAUGAAAGACGAACUUCUGCGAAAGCAUUUGCCAAGGAUGUUUUCAUUAA
This 379-nucleotide ribosomal RNA is filed under the name uncultured eukaryote. Its description in RNAcentral is "partial 18S ribosomal RNA". It matches the Rfam family "Eukaryotic small subunit ribosomal RNA", at positions 592 to 976 of the family's 1831-position model. The record is from RNAcentral.